UGCAAGUCGAACGGUAACAGGAUGUGCUUGCACAUCGCUGACGAGUGGCGGACGGGUGAGUAAUGCUUGGGAACUUGCCUUUGCGAGGGGGAUAACAGUUGGAAACGACUGCUAAUACCGCAUAAUGUCUUCGGACCAAACGGGGCUCCGGCUCCGGCGCAAAGAGAGGCCCAAGUGAUAUUAGCUAGUUGGUAAGGUAACGGCUUACCAAGGCGACGAUCUCUAGCUGUUCUGAGAGGAAGAUCAGCCACACUGGGACUGAGACACGGCCCAGACUCCUACGGGAGGCAGCAGUGGGGAAUAUUGCACAAUGGGGGAAACCCUGAUGCAGCCAUGCCGCGUGUGUGAAGAAGGCCUUCGGGUUGUAAAGCACUUUCAGUUGUGAGGAAAAGUUAGUAGUUAAUACCUGCUAGCCGUGACGUUAACAACAGAAGAAGCACCGGCUACUCCGUGCCAGCAGCCGCGGUAAUACGGAGGGUGCGAGCGUUAAUCGGAAUUACUGGGCGUAAAGCGCACGCAGGCGGUUUGUUAAGCU
Molecule: ribosomal RNA, 535 nt
Filed under: uncultured bacterium
Lineage: Bacteria
Description: bacterial SSU rRNA
Rfam family: Bacterial small subunit ribosomal RNA
Source: RNAcentral